CCCUGGGAUUCGCGCAUGGGCGAGCCUGAUGCCAGCCAUGCCGCGUGGGUGAUGAAGGCCUUCGGGUUGUAAACCCCUUUUAUUUGGGACGAAGGGCAUUGGGCUACUUGGUUGCUGUCUUGGCCUUUCCGAUGCAAGAAGCCCCGGUUUCCUCUGUGCCCGCCGGCGCGGUAAUCA
RNAcentral lists this ribosomal RNA (177 nucleotides) under uncultured bacterium. RNAcentral describes it as "partial 16S ribosomal RNA". It matches the Rfam family "Bacterial small subunit ribosomal RNA", at positions 353 to 527 of the family's 1533-position model. The record is from RNAcentral.